GUCCCUGUAGCGCAAUGGAUAGCGCGUUGGACUUUUAAUCCAAAGGCUGUGGUUUCGAAACCCACCUGGGGUG
This 73-nucleotide transfer RNA is filed under the name Trichonephila inaurata madagascariensis. It matches the Rfam family "tRNA". From Rfam's summary of the family: Transfer RNA (tRNA) molecules are approximately 80 nucleotides in length. Their secondary structure includes four short double-helical elements and three loops (D, anti-codon, and T loops). Further hydrogen bonds mediate the characteristic L-shaped molecular structure. tRNAs have two regions of fundamental functional importance: the anti-codon, which is responsible for specific mRNA codon recognition, and the 3' end, to which the tRNAs corresponding amino acid is attached (by aminoacyl-tRNA synthetases). tRNAs cope with the degeneracy of the genetic code in two manners: having more than one tRNA (with a specific anti-codon) for a particular amino acid; and 'wobble' base-pairing, i.e. permitting non-standard base-pairing at the 3rd anti-codon position. The record is from Rfam by way of RNAcentral. Lineage: Eukaryota; Metazoa; Arthropoda; Arachnida; Araneae; Nephilidae.